This 64-nucleotide transfer RNA is filed under the name Lactiforis takii. Its description in RNAcentral is "tRNA-Asp". Lineage: Eukaryota; Metazoa; Mollusca; Gastropoda; Amphibolidae. The record is from RNAcentral.
UUUUGUCUAGUUUAUAUAGAAUAGUAGCUUGUCGAGUUAUAGGUACCUUUUAGGGUGGCGAAGU